UGGACUUUCUUUUCAUUUUGUCGACAUAUUCCAUAAGCGAUGCAGCGUAGCGGCCACAACUUUCUCUUAGCCAAUAAGACGUUACCUCCCAACACGAUAAUCGCACGCCCCCCUUCGUCAAUGGCACACACAUCCAGAAAAAACGGCGCCGGAAAAACCCCGUCUGCUUACGUCAGUCUACAUCCCGCCAUCAUUUGAAAAAAAAAAGGCACAGUAUAAAGCGUAUAAAAACGACAGGAGAUGAGGCCAAAUAAGAAGAUGUUCAAACGCGUGAAACUCUUUUCUCUUUGUUACUUUGUCGUUCCACAACCUUUCCAGCAUGACACGAACAACGUCAAAUUCCAACGUCCCGUAUUUCUUUUUUGUUCCCAAUACGGAACUCAUUUUUCCCCCCCAAAUAAAUCAACGUUUCAAACAUCACCAGCAAUAACGUGAAUUUUGCCCCUUCAAAAAGAAAGACAUUAAAUGUUAGCCCCUAUAUUUAUAAAACCUCCUUUUUAUGUAUGGCAUGCUGGUAGAGUGUAGGUCAAACGAAGAAGAGAUGCUCUCGUCAUUCCCACACUUGGUUCGGAGAAAGUUCUCUUCCCUCUUUGACAUUCCAUUUUCUCGUUUGUUUUCUUUCUUUUUCUUUUUUUUUUUUGAAUAAUAACAACAAGUCCCGCAAGCUCCGUAUUCUAAAUUUAUAACUCUGUCCGCUCGUUUUCUUUUAUUUAAAUUAAAAUUCUUACCGCUCAAUUGUGGGCUCUGGCGGAGAAAGUUGGGCCCAAACGAACUCUGCGUUGCCGACAGCAGCCAAUGACCUUUUUUUCUUCUUCUUCUUCUUCUUAUUCCAGGUGAAAAUUUCAACAACAACAAAAUAAAAAAAGAUUCUCUGUUU
Long non-coding RNA from Daphnia magna, 877 nucleotides. RefSeq lists it as uncharacterized. Lineage: Eukaryota; Metazoa; Arthropoda; Branchiopoda; Diplostraca; Daphniidae. The record is from RefSeq and is a predicted model, not a curated record. The transcript is spliced from 2 exons.